GACGAACGCUGGCGGCGUGCUUAACACAUGCAAGUCGAACGGAAAGGCCCUGCUUUUGUGGGGUGCUCGAGUGGCGAACGGGUGAGUAACACGUGAGUAACCUGCCCUUGACUUUGGGAUAACUUCAGGAAACUGGGGCUAAUACCGGAUAGGAGCUCAUGCUGCAUGGUGGGGGUUGGAAAGUUUCGGCGGUUGGGGAUGGACUCGCGGCCUAUCAGCUUGUUGGUGGGGUAGUGGCUUACCAAGGCUUUGACGGGUAGCCGGCCUGAGAGGGUGACCGGCCACAUUGGGACUGAGAUACGGCCCAGACUCCUACGGGAGGCAGCAGUGGGGAAUAUUGCACAAUGGGCGGAAGCCUGAUGCAGCAACGCCGCGUGCGGGAUGACGGCCUUCGGGUUGUAAACCGCUUUCGCCUGUGACGAAGCGUGAGUGACGGUAAUGGGUAAAGAAGCACCGGCUAACUACGUG
Molecule: ribosomal RNA, 468 nt
Filed under: uncultured bacterium
Lineage: Bacteria
Description: partial 16S ribosomal RNA
Rfam family: Bacterial small subunit ribosomal RNA
Source: RNAcentral